RNAcentral lists this long non-coding RNA (454 nucleotides) under Trifolium pratense (red clover). RNAcentral's name for it is "long non-coding RNA (TPRA_LNC006059)". Lineage: Eukaryota; Viridiplantae; Streptophyta; Magnoliopsida; Fabales; Fabaceae. The record is from RNAcentral.
UCUUUUUCAUGGAAUCAAUAAUAGGUAGCCAAGUAGCCUUUCUUCUCGGAUUAGCACCUACCGUUAUGCCAAGAAAGCGAAAAAGGAUAGAAUCCACACCACAAUGCAAAAAAGACGAAGAUGCGCACAAAAAACUAUCAUCCAAAUUAAUACCAUAAAGCUUUCUUUUGAAAAAAUUUACCUUUAAACCAGACACUAAUUCGAAGCUUCUCAACAGCGUUUUAAUAGUCCAAAGGUUGUCCCAAUUGCCUUCGCCUACUAUAAUGGUAUCAUCCGCGAAUUGCAGAGUAUGAAACAUUAAAUUAUUGUUCACCUAGUAACCAUGAAAAGAGCCGCUUCCAACCGCUUUAUUCAUAAGUCCCGAUAGACCUUCAACAACAAUCAAGAAGAGGAACGGUGACAUUGAUGAUGGAUUCUUUUCUAAGUGGCGGUCUCUCUCAUGAACAACUGGAAU